Acanthopagrus latus (yellowfin seabream) is the source of this 642-nucleotide long non-coding RNA. RefSeq lists it as uncharacterized. The record is from RefSeq and is a predicted model, not a curated record. The transcript has 2 exons. NCBI's taxonomy places the organism in Eukaryota, Metazoa, Chordata, Actinopteri, Spariformes, Sparidae.
AUUUAGAAAAUGCAAGGAAUUGAUCCCUUUGAUAACACCACUGUUCUGUUUGACUGCAUGCCUCAACAUUCUUUCAGACUUCUGACAGGAACCGUAUGAGGAUCUGAUGAAAAUCAAAACUAGAAACCAUAUAUGACCAAGAGGGGUGGAGGUGAGGGUUGAGAGUUGGGUCAUACAAAGGACCCUCACAAGGGAGACUGUGGCUCAUAUUCUGUGUGAAACCAAACAUCAACAAUGUCUUCCAAACUUCAACAAGUCAGUUCAGUGCCUGAAGAACAAAUGGGCUUACUUCCACCUCCUUUUCUAAAUAUGAUUCUGAUGAAUGUGUCAAAGGCCUAAACGUGAAUGAUUGACACAGUCAGGUUCUGGUGUAUUGUAGAUGAGAUGAUGGGUUUUAUUUAACUCUUCGAAUACUUUAUAUUUGGUCCCACACUUGUAAUUACCCUGACGUCCCUCUCUAUAGCUGAUCCAUCUCUACCCUAACAGUCUUUUCAUAGAGUUGCAGCUCUUAUAUCAUAUGAUGGGUAGAUGACUUCCUUAGUUGCAGGUGAUAAAAUCACAUUAUGAACCUGAGUUUCCAUCAUCAUCAUUGUAUUGUGAAUAACAUGAAUAUAUAUAAAUAAAUAAAAAUGAAUACAUCUA